Molecule: long non-coding RNA, 2378 nt
Organism: Chelonia mydas (Green sea turtle)
Lineage: Eukaryota; Metazoa; Chordata; Testudines; Cheloniidae
Exons: 3
Source: RefSeq, a predicted model, not a curated record
AGUUAAUUGGCAAUCAAGGUAAAACAGUCUAGUGUAAACAGGUCCUUUAGGUUUUAAAGUACAGCCCCCCCACAACUCCCAGGAUGUGCAGUGCAGUGGAGUUAAGCUCCCGCCUUUAGGGAUUACUUACCACCGAGCAACCUUGACCUUUUCAUGAGCCCGCAGCUCAGUCUGGAUGCGUGGAUCAGCCCCAAGAAGGAACACCAAUCGUUUCACUGAGGAAGGCAGGAGGGAGAGAUGGUGGAGAAGAGUCUGUGGCAGGCAGCUAAGUAAAAACAACCUGGACUGUCUUAGUCUAGGAUUGCCAGCAAGAGAAGGGGAGUGAGCAGCCCCUCCCCUAAGCACAGUGGAUGUGGUGGAAUGAAAUCGCCAGAGAACACUGAAUGUGGAAUAAUGGCCGCAAAGCCCAUCACUAAGGAGGAGCAGAAAGUUUGUCCCCGGGGGAGUGAAGAAAACAACAGGCUAGUGCAUCCUGCUCCACUUCUCCAGGGCGACAGCAGGCCAAUGAGGGCUGUCUCAGCACCGCAGCUGUGAUUUCCAAGAAGGACCUUCUGGAGAUGAUACCAUUGCUUCUCGUGCUGGGGGAGUGCUGACCAACACGCAGAUCGCUAACCUGGAUGAACUUGGCCAUAGUUUAGUCAGUUGGCUCCUGUGCCUUAGACAGUCAUUUAAUGUACCUUUCCCUUUUGUUGAACUAAUCAGUCAAUGGCUACCUCCAUUGAUCUGGGCGGGGCUGGGGUGGGCACACCACAGAACUUGUGUGAAGGAGAAGAUGAAUGUUUGGGCUUGGAAAAAUCACCUCUUUAGAAGCCUUAUCCCACUGAGGGGGGCACAUGUCCCAGUUGCCUGGGCGCCAUGGCAUCUGGGUUCUAUUCAUGGCUUUGCCACCAACCCUGUUGUGGGACCCUGGGCAAGUCCCUUCACCUUUCUGUUUAGAUUGACAGUUCUUCAGGGUAGGGACUGCUUCUCCCACUGUGUUUGUAUAGCACCUAAAACAAUGGGGCCCUGAUCUCAGGUUGGGCUUUUAACUGCUAAUGUAAUAGAAAUAAUAAGAACCCUGCAGUUUUUCGGGGUGGGGGUGGGGCCCUCAAUAACCCAAUCUUUAUAUUCAUUAUUACGUCUACUGUAGAAUUAUGGUACCCCCUGUAGAUUAUAUUUACUCUGUAGAUACAGUUGGUGCUUUCCACAGGGUAAAAAUGUGCUGAACAAACAAAAAGAUUUUCUCCCCCAAGGAGUUUAUAGUCUAAGUCCAGAGGGGUUAUAAUACAGUAUGGAACAAACACAGGAUGGAUGUGGUCUUUAAAGCUGGAAUGUUUCUGUGUUUUUCUGAUCGUGUCCUUCUUAGACUCUGCAAUACAUACUGUGACCCAUGGCACCUAAAUAUCUGUUCUAAUUAAUAAGCCAAAUGGGUGUGCACAUCAGUGUACUGCAAACAGUCAGAACGCUAUCAAGUUGGUAGAAACACCCUCAUCUUUGUAAACAACAGAAUUCAAGAUAGACUAAAUGGCAGUGUAACAAAGCAAAGACUGAGGGAAUGACUGGGGUGCAUGAACAUUAUAUUAAUGUUUAGUAUUGCAAAGUACAAGAUAACAUCUUGUGGACUGAAUCUGUUGUGUUCGCAAACAUCUGCCUAAUAAUUGUACCUAGCUGUUAUAUGGCACUUUUCAUCAGGAGUGGGCAAAACACGUCACAAAGGAGGGCAGUAGCAUUAUCCCCAUUUUACAAAUGGGCAAACUGAGAUGCAGAGAGAGAACGGCCCAGAUCCUCAAAGGUAUCAGGGCUCCUAACUUCCACUGAUUUCAAUGGUUUACUUGACAAUGUGGGCCAAAGUGACUUGUUCAAGGUCACCUACCAAGCCAGUAACAGAACUGGGAACAGAACCGAGCUCUCCUAAAGUCCAGUCCAAUACUCUAUACAUUAGGCUAUACCACCUUCCUAAGUAGGUGAUUUUGUCAUUUUGUACUGUGGUUCCUGUUGGUAUAUCUACAAACACAGUCUUUUGGCUCCAGGAUAAAUCUGCGGCAGGAACCCGUAGAUUUCAUCUCUGUUUUUAAAAGCAGGGUCUUCUGUCUCUGUCAGGCAUGCCUGGGGGUUCUCUGGCUCACGCGCGGCUCCUGACCGUCAGACUCACAGAACAAUUUUAUUUCUAUUAUUAUUAUUGCUUAGCCCUGCAUAUUUUUUUCUCUUACCAAAGCACGUUUUGACCUGUACUGUACGAUACCAUCUGGUAGCCGUUCUGCAGUGACCCAGUGCAGCUCAUGGUGGACUCUGGAGUUUGUGCAGGGAAGUAUCAAACAGAACACAAGGCCCUUUCCUGCAUUCAUUGCACAGCCUCCUCUCCCCCUAACACCAGGGCUGGAUCUGGCUGUAAUUUUCUA